AUAUCAUUAGGGGAAGGAAAAGAAAUCAACGGAGAUUCCCCUAGUAACUGCGAGUGAAGCGGGAAAAGCUCAAAUUUAAAAUCUGGCGGUCUCCGGCCGUCCGAGUUGUAAUCUAGAGAAGUGUUAUCCGCGCUGGACCGUGUACAAGUCUCCUGGAAUGGAGCGUCAUAGAGGGUGAGAAUCCCGUCUUUGACACGGACUGCCAGGGCUUUGUGAUGCGCUCUCGAAGAGUCGAGUUGUUUGGGAAUGCAGCUCAAAAUGGGUGGUAAAUUCCAUCUAAAGCUAAAUAUUGGCGAGAGACCGAUAGCGCACAAGUA
RNAcentral lists this ribosomal RNA (317 nucleotides) under uncultured Bolbitiaceae. Its description in RNAcentral is "partial large subunit ribosomal RNA". It matches the Rfam family "Eukaryotic large subunit ribosomal RNA", at positions 40 to 350 of the family's 3401-position model. Lineage: Eukaryota; Fungi; Basidiomycota; Agaricomycetes; Agaricales; Bolbitiaceae. The record is from RNAcentral.